Long non-coding RNA from Cervus elaphus (red deer), 630 nucleotides. RefSeq lists it as uncharacterized. The transcript is spliced from 5 exons. Lineage: Eukaryota; Metazoa; Chordata; Mammalia; Artiodactyla; Cervidae. The record is from RefSeq and is a predicted model, not a curated record.
UCCCAAUGUUGCAGGAGUGCGAGGCUGCCAAGUCAGAACCGGCGAUCCUCUCCGGCUAGCCCGCCCCUGUGGUCUGGACCUCCGCUCCUGCGCCGAGUGCCUGGCCCGCCCAUCCGCCGACAGGCCCCGCCCCAGGUUUCCCUGUGUACUCGCCUGCCCACUUGCCUACGCGGUGCCCGACUUGCGCUGGUGAUAGGAGACCGCCGAGUUCAUGUUGCCGAAGAUGAAACUCCAAUACUUUGGUCACCUGAUGCGAAGAACUGACUCACUGGAAAAGACCCUGAUGCUGAGAAAGAUUGAAGGCGAUCGGGCACCCAGGCCAGUCAUCUGAGUUGGGAGGAGACAAGGGACAAAAGAAAAUCCUUGUUCCGGCCACUGGGUCAGCAUCAUGGACCAUGGACGCCCCUAGAUUCCAGCCCAGGGCCACAGCCAUCAAAUCCAAAGCCUGCAUCCUCCCCGUGGUCCUCACCAGUUUCAUCGUAACUGUCUUCCUGGGCUGAGUCCUUUCCAGGACCAGGUACUGAGGGCAGAAUUCAGAGAGCCAAGAAGUCAGAGCCAGGAGUUCUGAGCCUGCCUUCCUGUGAUGGUGACACAGUAGCUUCGUUGUCUCAUGUGUCCUGUUACGUCUGG